RNAcentral lists this ribosomal RNA (768 nucleotides) under uncultured bacterium. RNAcentral describes it as "bacterial SSU rRNA". It matches the Rfam family "Bacterial small subunit ribosomal RNA", at positions 572 to 1339 of the family's 1533-position model. The record is from RNAcentral.
UAGGCGGCUGAUUAAGUCGGAUGUGAAAUCCCUGAGCUUAACUUAGGAAUUGCAUUCGAUACUGGUCAGCUAGAGUAUGGGAGAGGAUGGUAGAAUUCCAGGUGUAGCGGUGAAAUGCGUAGAGAUCUGGAGGAAUACCGAUGGCGAAGGCAGCCAUCUGGCCUAAUACUGACGCUGAGGUACGAAAGCAUGGGGAGCAAACAGGAUUAGAUACCCUGGUAGUCCAUGCCGUAAACGAUGUCUACUAGCCGUUGGGGCCUUUGAGGCUUUAGUGGCGCAGCUAACGCGAUAAGUAGACCGCCUGGGGAGUACGGUCGCAAGACUAAAACUCAAAUGAAUUGACGGGGGCCCCGCACAAGCGGUGGAGCAUGUGGUUUAAUUCGAUGCAACGCGAAGAACCUUACCUGGCCUUGACAUACUAGAAGCUUUCCAGAGAUGGAUUGGUGCCUUCGGGAAUCUAGAUACAGGUGCUGCAUGGCUGUCGUCAGCUCGUGUCGUGAGAUGUUGGGUUAAGUCCCGCAACGAGCGCAACCCUUUUCCUUACUUGCCAGCAUUUCGGAUGGGAACUUUAAGGAUACUGCCAGUGACAAACUGGAGGAAGGCGGGGACGACGUCAAGUCAUCAUGGCCCUUACGGCCAGGGCUACACACGUGCUACAAUGGUCGGUACAAAGGGUUGCUACCUAGCGAUAGGAUGCUAAUCUCAAAAAGCCGAUCGUAGUCCGGAUUGGAGUCUGCAACUCGACUCCAUGAAGUCGGAAUCGCUAGU